Molecule: long non-coding RNA, 1955 nt
Filed under: Helianthus annuus (common sunflower)
Lineage: Eukaryota; Viridiplantae; Streptophyta; Magnoliopsida; Asterales; Asteraceae
Source: RNAcentral
CUCUAUCCACAAAAUCCUGGAGAGUUGUUCUCUCUCUUCUCUCUCAGGUGUUAAGAUGAUCAGACUCCCAUCCAAUGGUGGGAUCCCAUUUCUUCAACUUGAUCUAUAUUUACAGUUUCACUCACAGGACCCUCCCUCCCUUUGUGUGAAACGAAUCUUAUAGAUGAUGAGGGAAACAAGUAGACGCAUUUCUGAUUGGUGGAAUCUCUAUUCAGAAAGACUCCAAUGCUCACUACCAAUUUCAUGUUUAUCCACCAAGGUUUCGAGCCGGGGGUCUUUUUGGAAGCAGCCUCUUUAUCUAUAUGGAUAGAGGUAAGAUUUGCCUACUUCCCACCCUCCUCAGACCCCACCAAUAAUUUUGCUAUUUAUGAGACUUACUGAGUACGGUUGUUAUUGCUUUUAGGAAUAUGUGGUGUUUUUAUAUUCUCAUUGGAGAAAUCUUAAUAUUUUUAUCUUUUAGAUGGAUAUAUACGUUCUUGAUUUUUUUUUAAUGUCUAGAUUUAUUUACGUAUUUGAGAAAAAGUGAAUAGAUAAUUCAUUUUUACGGUGGAAAUUAUCGUUUUUUAUUGGUAUAUUGGAUUUUAAUAAUUUAAACCAGGAUGCCGUGACAUAAUAAUCUAUACCUGCAAUUUGAACAACGACACUCCUGUAACUUCCAUUUUCGUUGUUAAGAACAAUGCCACUCUAACGGAAAAGUAACUCCAUCUACCCUAAUGAAUAUGUACGUUUUAGAUGGAAAUUGACAUUCUUGAAUAUGUUUUUAGUGUGGGUAGGUUUAUCUUUUUGUUUGAGAAAAAGUGAAAUGGUGAGAUUUGAACUUUUGAAACUUUAUGUAAAUUGUCUUGAUACGACAUAAAUGAAACUCAGUGACAAAAAGGAGUUACUUCUCCAUUAGAGUGAGUUUGUUCUUGGCAACGUAAGUGAAAGUUAGGAGAGUCAUUCAGUCAAAUUGUCGGUAUGGAUUAUUAUCCGUAAAUGCGUCAUACGUUGGAUUAUUAAAAUCCAAUUCACCUUUUUAGUUUUACAAAUUGUUCAAGACUUAUGUAAUGUUAUCCAGUUACAUUUUUUUAAAUACAAUAGAGCGAAUCGGUAGGUAACAAAGAGAAGCCAAACACUUUCGUGUCGAGUUGUUUUGCAUUGUUACAAAAACAUUAUCAUUACAACAACAAUCAAAGAGUUUGGUGUGUGAAUAUAAAUUCAAAAAAAAAAAAAAAAAAGUUUAUAGAAACUGCAGGUAGAAAGUGAAGUUUGGUGGAAAGAGGGUGAAAGUAUGGUAUGGGAAAAUUGUGUCUUUAAUAGGCUAGUUGUGAAAAAUGUCCAGGUUCUCUUUCCUUGUAUGAAAUACUAAUCAAAUUGGUCAAUUAUUAUUAUCAGAAACAUUGGCAUAGAUACAAACCAUAUAUGAACACUUGCACACAUGUAUUUAUGUGAAAUAAAGAAUAGUCACAACAGCAAUGAAGGGUUUUCUGUCAGUUUCCGUUGCCUUCUGCCGACGUUUAUGAGGUUGGUCCCCUCCUACCGUCGUUAAUGGUUUUGAUUUUAUAAACUAACACAUUCCGAAUAUAAAAGUUAUAUAGUUUUCGUAUAUGUCUAUUGCUUGUUCACAUUUUCUUAUAGGUUUCGAAAACAGCAUUACAUUAUGAUCUAAUACCACAAGGGAACUUGUUUUCUUUGGACGACUUGUGACACGUCUGUUCCUUAGAUGGUUUUAUGUAUCAAAAUGCAUUUUGGACGACUUGUGACACGUCUGUUCCAUUUAUGCUAAAGUAAAUUAAGUUUUAUAAUAACUUAGUGAAUGAAACUCUUAUUAAGAUACAAGUCAUACAGGCAUGUAUAAUCAGAGAUUCAGAUCAUGGAAACACUAUACACACAUAAAUCAUUCACAGUCACACACACAUAACAACAUGCAUAUGUAAAUACAAACAUACAUAAGUGAGUUGUGUCAAUACCUGUAA